CCCAGUUCAAGUAAUUCAGGAUAGGUUGUGUGCUGUCCAGCCUGUUCUCCAUUACUUGGCUCGGG
Molecule: microRNA precursor, 65 nt
Organism: Heterocephalus glaber (naked mole-rat)
Lineage: Eukaryota; Metazoa; Chordata; Mammalia; Rodentia; Bathyergidae
Source: Ensembl